UACUAAGAGGGCCAAGACGCGAAAGCCGCUCCACUCCUGACCAUGGGGCACGUCCCUCUCUUCCUUCUGAAAAGUGUCCUACUUUUUAUAGACAGCAGUUGUGUCCACUUAUGUAAUGAGCCAGGCUUGGCUUAGAAUGAAGCAAAGAGGUGCUUUAGACAGUGAUUGAAGGCUUCCCAUAGCUCUACGUGAUGUUCAAAGAAAAUAUCAUCUAAAAAUCAACGCAAGCAAACCUCCCCUGGGAGCGUCGCUGAGGAAUUAGCGUGCUAGACGCUUCUGGAAAACAUCUCCACUCGCGUCCUAUCCUAGGCGUCACCUAAGCCUUUGCUUUCCAUCACGCAGCAAGCUUCUAUGGGCCUUUGACAAAUGCUGUCAGAUACUGGCCCACACCGCAUGCUAACCUCCACUCAAUAUCGCCUCUCUCGGGUUCUCUCUACUGUCGACAGGACACCUUACUUUGGAUCCGUACUCAGUGUGGUGGGAUUCGUCAGCUCAAGAUUCCCCACACUUCCUCUGGCACUAGAGGAAUUUGGGCAUUUAUUUCCAAGUUUCCAGCACUUCACCUCUGGACCUACUGAGCCAAAGUCUUUGAGCGAAGGUGCAGGUGCCUGGUAAUCGGUCAUUCUAGCAAGUCACCAGGGUUGGGACCCACAGGUUGAGAACUGCUGCACUAAAACUCAGGGGCUUCCCUUCGUACCUGUUGCAUGUCGGGUUCCUGAUCGUUCUACUGCUUUCCCAUCUUCACUCAAAAGACCUCGGUUGAGAGUGUCCGUGAAAGGCGAAAUUAUGGCGUCACUCUGGGUGCAUUUUCCUGACUCGAACAUGUAUCAGAAAAGAAGCAGGUGCUCAAUCAAGGUGAUCAGAACAACUUACGUUUCUUCUAUUUUCUGUCUUCUGAGAAACUGGAUGUCACCUCUUCAUCAAGGAGCAGCGUUCAUGGGGCUAAGGAUAUUUGCCCAGUUAUAGAAUGGGAAUAUACAGCCUUGGGUAUGCUCUAUGUUUGCCUUGGUUCUUACAGCUGUUAUUCUAAGAGAAGUGGACACAAAUGAAAAGGAGACACACUGAUGUAGUAGAUUCAGGAGUGAACAUGAGUCUUAGAGGCUUGACAGCAUCAGGAGGAGGACAGCCUCGCCCAAAGGAAGCAUGGGUGUGUGGUCACAUCUCACAAUGACAACAGAAUCCUUUUCAGAUGAAGCUUCUCACCAGGGCGCAUGCGCCCCACGCUGGACCGUCUCCAUUCCCAUAGUCACCGUCUCUCACGGUUUGAUUGAGUUGAGCUCUUUUACACAUCCAUACCCCAGGCUCCAGAGGGCAAAUGCUUGAGUGGGAAUCUUUCACGUCUCCAGGUGGUGGCAGCUGAGGCAGAGGUGCAAACGGAGAUGUGUCUUUCCCAAAGAUCACCCACGGUAUGCUUUACCCCGAACCUAAUGAGAAGGGAAUAAAUCAGGGUCUGUGUCAACUUUGACUUCCUAGUCCUGAGGACCAGAUGUUUUGACUUCAUUUUUUUAUCCUUGUGAGGUUAGUUCUUGGCCAGAUGCUUGCCCUUUCUGAUGUGCACUCAUUUGUGUGCAUGGGGGUGGGGAAGGAGAGGAAGGAAUACUCACCAGUUUGUUGGCUAAAGUCUAGACUAUGAAUCGGGCAGUAGACUUGAUCACCACUGUCUUAGUUAGGGUUUUACUGCUGUGAACAGACACCAUGACCAAAGCAACUCUUGUAAGGACAACAUUUAAUUGGGGCUGGUUUACAGGUUCAGAGAUUCAAUCCAUUUAUCACCAUGGAAGGAAGCAUCGAAGUGUGCAGGCAGACCAGAUGUAGUGCUGGAAGACCUGAGAGUUCUACAACUUGAUUCAAAGGCAACCAGGAAGAGACUGGCUUCCACAGGCAGCCAGGAGAAGGGUCCCGUCUGCACUGGGUGGAGCUUGAGCAUCAGGAGCCCUGAAAGUCCCGCCUACAUAGUGACGUACUUCCUCUAACAAGGCCACAUGCCCUAAUAAUACCACUUCCCACGGGCCAAGCAGUUUUAAACCACCAUAACCAUUCGAUAGCUACAUAUUUCAUUCCACUUUAGGUGCCAGACUGCCUGUGAGAAAGUCAAAAGAAAGAUGAGCGAUGUCAGACAAGACAAAUGAGAAAGACCUGCUGCAGAAUUGAGGCGACUCAGCUAAAAUCCACUCCCGGGCUUGCGGAGUCGUAAUUCUCCAUCACCAACCCCUAGGACAGGAGGCUGGGCUGCACUCACGUUGAUCCCUGCACUGUUGGCUUGGUAGAGAAUAUUUAAGAUCAUCCAGUGACAUCUUUUUUUAAAUGUUUUUCAGCCCUGAUUUGAACAAAUUCUUCUCAAAAACCUGAUUAGCUUUCAAUGACUAUUAGAAAACUACUAAAACACACACACACACACACACACACACACACAGAUGGAUCUUGGAAACCCUCAGCCUUGGGCUGAUGGUUGUGGUUGAAGAGACUCAAAGUCCAGUAUGAAGAUAAUCAUUCUAUUGCUUUCUCUCCGAGUCCUAGAUGAGAAGUACUGUGAACACAGGAUUAUUCACCAAGUGAGCCUCCAGCAAAAUGUCCUUUCUAGUCUACAGCCUCGGGUCUGCAUAUGUCCGCUAAUUCAGCCAGAGUGAGGUUGGAAAUAUUUUUUAAUUGCACUGAUUUAAUUAUGCAGAUUUUUGUCACUGUUCCCUCAAUAAUAUGGUUCAACAAUUGUUUACAAAGAUUCUGUGAUGGUUUGUAUGUGCACAGCCCAGGGAAUGGCACUAUUAGAAGGUAUAGCCCUGUUGGAGUAGGUAUGACCUUGUUGGAGUAGGUGUGACACUGUAGGUGUGGGCUUUAAGACCCUCCUCUUGGUUGCCUGGAAGCCAGUCUUCCACUAGCAGCCUUCAGAUGAAGAUGUAGCACUCUCAGCUCCUGCACCAUGCCUGCCUGGAUGCUGCCGUGCUCCCACCUUGAUGAUAAUGGACUGAACCUCUGAACCUGUAAGCCAGCCCUAAUGAAAUGUUGUCCUUUAUAAGAGUUGCCUUGGUCAUGGUGUCUGUUCACAGCAGUAAAACCCUAACAGUAUCCUCAUGACUUUGUCUGUUACUUGUCGUCUACAGACGAUCUAAAAUGCCACCAAGAGGUCUGCAGAGAUGGCUCAGUGGCUAAGAGGGCUUGCUGCUCUUUCAGACGACCCAAGUUUCAUUCCUGGAAGCCAUAUCAGGAAGUUCACAAGCACCUGUAACUCCAGGUCCAGGGAAUGAAUCCAUCACCCUCUUUUGGACUUUGCACAUACCUGCACAUAUGUGAUACCUAUGAACACACACACACACACACACACACACACACACACACACACACACUCACAUAUCCUUGCAGUAUAAAGAAGAAUGUGUACACAAACCCUACAGCACUGCCUAUACAGGACUACGACAUCCUCUGAUAUAGGUAUGCCUGUGCCCUGAAAUCAGUCUGCAUGGGCACCGCGGGAUGACUGUUAAGUACAUCCAAUUUGUACAGUUUCAGCCAUCUCUAUUCACACAAAUGCUUAAAAGCAGGAAAAGGGACCUGUAAAACUGCACCGCUGCGCCCCCUAGUGGUUGCAUUCAGUUAAUUACCUGUCUACUGUAGAUCUACAAAAAAAUACAUAUAUUCUUUUAAUCUAGGAGCGUCCUGAGUCCACUGUUCACCAACACAUCUGAGGCAAAGGGAAUCUGGUGGGCUUGACGAGCUGGCAGAUGUUUAGGCUUCUCCUGCCAGGCAUGAUAAGAAAGCACUCGACUUCCAUGCACUCUCUGACCCCACGCUCCACUCCGGUACUGCUUAGAGGCAGGGAUGAUGGAAGCGACAAACGCACGAGUUGAUAUGAUGCAUUGCAUUAAUAUGUGGAAGCAAAAACAUAGCAUUUUCUCUUCAUUUUUUCCCCUUGCAGGUUGCAUAUUGUUACCUGGAGUAAUUUGCAGCCCCUGAGAAAGGAUGAUUUUACUGGCCACUUCUGACAGACAAAUUGUCUUUAUUCCUUUGAUUUCUUUUAUUCUGCUAUUAAUAACACUGACAUUUGAAGCUGACUGUGCUCCAUAAUAAGUCAUCAGCACUGUUCGUUAUGAUGGUGUCCCUUACUGGCUUGGACCUCAUCAGACAGACUCAGCUCACUGACCAAUGAGACUCAGUAACCAUCUCUUCCUACUUCCACGGCUCUGCGACUACAGUGUAAGUCACCGUGGCCUGGAGAUUGAACCCUGGCCCUCACACUUGCAUGGCGAGCAUUUUCUGAUUGAGCCAUCUCCCCAGGCCUACACGGAUGGUGAUUGUAUGAAAACCUUGGGGCGCGGGGGUGGGGGUGCUGUUAAGACUCUUUGGUGCACUUGUUGGUUUUGUUGAAAACUGACACAUUCCAGCUGGUCAGUGGGACGUACAACUUUGGCUGCAGUGCAUUCCUGACGGAAUUCACGUGCCAGAAGUUUAGUCUCCAGUGCGUCAAUGUUGAGGUGCGGCUUUUUAAGGUCCUUUGGCCCUGGGGAGAUGGUGCAGGCCUUGAGAGGGUUUGGUGCUCUUGCAGGGGAGCCAGUUAAUUUCCUAACAACCACACAGGGCUACUCACAGCCACCUGUAACUCUAGUCCCAAGGGAUCUUACGAAGCGCUCUGGUCUCUGCAGAGACACUAAUAAUAGAUGCAUAAGUACAUAUGUACAGACAGACAGACAGACAGACAGACAAAACACUCAUACACAUAAAAUCAUAAAUGGAAAUAGAUACAUCAUUUUAAAGGUAGGGUUUAGUAAAAGUAAUUAACUCCCUGGGCCACUGGCUAUAAGGGUCUCUCGGGGAAUGUACUCUAAGUGUCUCUCAGGGAAUACACUGUCCCAAGAGUAGACUGUUGUCCUUAACAUAAGGCGUGUUCCCUACCUCUUGAAUACAGCUGGUGCUGUUUCCAUUGCUGGUGUG
Molecule: non-coding RNA, 4923 nt
Organism: Rattus norvegicus (Norway rat)
Lineage: Eukaryota; Metazoa; Chordata; Mammalia; Rodentia; Muridae
Source: RefSeq, a predicted model, not a curated record